Molecule: long non-coding RNA, 1753 nt
Organism: Strigops habroptila (Kakapo)
Lineage: Eukaryota; Metazoa; Chordata; Aves; Psittaciformes; Psittacidae
Exons: 4
Source: RefSeq, a predicted model, not a curated record
AAUGUUUUAGAAAGGCUUUUGGGAAGACAAAAGUUUGAGUUUUCUGUUCAGCUCCUAAAUUUCAGAUUUGGUGAAGUUGUGUCUCCUUAAAGGUAGAAACAGGGGUGGUAAGAGAAAGCUGAGAAUUUAAAGAUUUAAACAUGAAGAUCUCUACAAGGCAAAAGCUUGUCACCCCCAUAUGUUUUCCCAAUCAGUUGGGAAACCAGACUUUAUCAGUUGAGACGGUCUGAGCAAAUAGGGUUGUCUUUUAGCUUUCUCUAAAAGUGGCCAGAUUAAUACUAAAUUCUGUAGAAUGAGAAGUGAAGUUUGGAGAAGGCAGCCUGCCUCAGAGAAGGGCUGCUGUCAGCACCACAGAGGACAAGAUGAAAUGCGAAUGGUCAGGUUCACUUUUGUUUAAAAUCAAUUUCAUUAGCUGCAACGCAACCUGGUUGUGUUUGUAUUUUCAGUAAUGGCUGGGAAUAAUUAAUUCUCCUUCAUUUACAGAUCCCUCGCGCUCUCAUCACUCAAAAGAAAACCCCAAAUUGUAUUAAAAAAAAAUUACUUUGACAACAAAUUAACUCAAGAUUUUAAACCAGUUGUCAGUGUCCCUUCAAGUCAAAUCCUCUUUCCACUUAUAGCACAGACGUAUGAAAGAGGAGGCUGCUGUUCCUCAGUGAGCACAGAGGAAGAUUGAGUUGUGUGUGGGAGGACAGAACAGGAGAACACUCCAGUUACUUGGACCACUCCUCCGGCAAAAUUAAUAAGUAUUGUUAGAAAGUACUUUGCAGAGAGAAAAAGAAAAGUUAAUCUCCUCAGUGUAGUCGAGUGAUGGGGCUGAGCUGGCAAUAACAGUAAUUAAGCGGGGGGGUGGGGGGAACUUUAUUGAAAAAAGUUGUCUAAUUUUCUCCACCAUUCAGACUUGUUCUGGGGAAACAGGAAUUUUCGUCGCUGUUUCCACACUGGAUAAAUCACUCAAUCUACAAGCAGUAACAAAUCCUUCUUCUGUUCCAGCUCUCUCUGAAGUUCUUUUUCCUCCAGAGAGGGAGAAUUGCAGCUCCAAACUUCAUUCAAAAGGGUCCAGGAUAUUCAAGCCUUCAAAGGUCAUUCAGACACAAACUAAGACAGACCAUCUAGCAAGCAUGUGGGGAUUGAGUUCAAAAUCAAAUCUAGGUAUAUUCAGCAAACUUUAUUCAUCUCCCAGGAGUUCAUCCAUCAGUUUGAGCCUUCAUCUAAGCUGGGGACAUGUGGAUCUGACUUGAUGGCUCUUUGAAAGAGUACAGCUGCAGCAAUUCCACUUUGAGGAAGCCAGAGUACCACUGACUUUUGCUGGUUGAUAAAGUCUUACUACUCCAUUUGUUCUUGGCGCCUCUUCGGCCAUUUUCAGCGCGUCUUGGCUUGAGCAGAGCAGGGGUUGUUUCUGUGCCUGGAUGGAACUGAUUAAGAUUUGAACAACUGGAAGGGGCCUAUCAAAAAGUCGUUGCUGUCAAAUGCCUCAUGGAAAAAAUGCCUGCUCCCCACAGGAAUAUCCCCACUUCAACCAGUCAUAGCUGGUUGACAUCGUAGGCGUUGUUUCAGAAAAGGGUAAAAAUAUUGAAUGUGUCUCUGGAGAAUUCUGUCACUCUCCAGACGUGCUCACUUUGAAUCCUGCUUUAAAACAAACAGUAGAGAGGGAAAAAAUCUGCGGAGUCACUGUUUGUAUUGUAUAUUCUGUGCUGAUGGAUGGGUUCAGUUACUGCAGCUAUUAACCCAGCAAUUUUUAGGAACAUAAAAUUAA